UGGGCAACCUGCCCCUCUCUCUGGGAUAACCCCGGGAAACCGGAGCUAAUACCGGAUACUCCGGCUGGAUCACAUGGUCCGGCCGGGAAAGGUCCGCCGGAGAGGGAUGGGCCCGCGGCCUAUCAGCUUGUUGGUGGGUAACGGCCUACCAAGGCAUCGACGGGUAGCUGGUCCGAGAGGACGACCAGCCACACUGGGACUGAGACACGGCCCAGACCUCCUACGGGAGGCA
This 232-nucleotide ribosomal RNA is filed under the name uncultured bacterium. Its description in RNAcentral is "partial 16S ribosomal RNA". It matches the Rfam family "Bacterial small subunit ribosomal RNA", at positions 118 to 350 of the family's 1533-position model. The record is from RNAcentral.